GUGCUUAGAGAAAUAUGCUUGUUUCGGGUUUCAGACUCUCAAGAGGAUAGUGGUCAUUGAUUUCUAGCCUUAAAGUAACGAUAAAGACUUCCAGAUAUGAAUGGGCUCCUAUGGAAUCCAGCCAGUCUGCCUGAAAGCCUCCUGCUGUAAAACACUUGGUUUCAUCUGGAUGUCCACCCUCCUCUUCCUUUACUCCUCCUUCACUUUUUCAGAUUGCCUCACUUGGCAGCUGUCCUGAUGAUCACACAGAAUGGCAUUUAUUGACUGAAUAGUUGGCUUAUUGAAGAGUAACUACUUUAAGAUUGUGAAAUGAUUUCUGAAGGUUACACAAUUAUCUGUGGAAGUAAAGGCCUUUAUUAUAUGUAUAUCUUUCUAGUCAGUUACGUGGCAGUCAUAAACUUAGAGAAGGGGGCCCCAGGUGGGAUCCUGGAAAAGGACAUUUUACUAAUAUCAAAAGGUAGUAGGCUUAGAGACUCUUACUUUAAAUUUAAAACUAAUGAGAAUAAACAGAUACUGUUUUAUUUUAAAACAUUUUCUUUCUUUGUGGCCAAUAGAAUAAACGCUGGCAUGAAAGCCCUCAUAUGAGAAUAUCGAGUGAGUCCUUUCUCAGACUGUGCAUUGACAUUGCCACCAACAUUACUGAGACACUGAAGGAAGGAAUCAAAGCAGAAGAAUGUAAAAUCAAGAACUGCGACAGGAUAAA
RNAcentral lists this long non-coding RNA (703 nucleotides) under Cricetulus griseus (Chinese hamster). RNAcentral describes it as "lncRNA (ENSCGRG00015033212.1)". Lineage: Eukaryota; Metazoa; Chordata; Mammalia; Rodentia; Cricetidae. The record is from RNAcentral.